RNAcentral lists this ribosomal RNA (472 nucleotides) under uncultured bacterium. RNAcentral's name for it is "bacterial SSU rRNA". It matches the Rfam family "Bacterial small subunit ribosomal RNA", at positions 8 to 526 of the family's 1533-position model. The record is from RNAcentral.
AGAGUUUGAUCAUGGCUCAGAACGAACGCUGGCGGCAGGCUUAACACAUGCAAGUCGAACGCAUCCUUCGGGGUGAGUGGCAGACGGGUGAGUAACGCGUGGGAACAUGCCCUUCAGUUCGGAAUAACCCAGGGAAACUUGGGCUAAUACCGGAUACGUGCGAGAGCAGAAAGAUUUAUCGCUGAAGGAGUGGCCCGCGUCUGAUUAGCUAGUUGGUGAGGUAAAGGCUCACCAAGGCGACGAUCAGUAGCUGGUCUGAGAGGAUGAUCAGCCACACUGGGACUGAGACACGGCCCAGACUCCUACGGGAGGCAGCAGUGGGGAAUAUUGGACAAUGGGCGCAAGCCUGAUCCAGCCAUGCCGCGUGAGUGAUGAAGGCCUUAGGGUUGUAAAGCUCUUUCGGCGGGGACGAUAAUGACGGUACCCGCAGAAGAAGCCCCGGCUAACUUCGUGCCAGCAGCGGCGGUAAUAC